CGUGCAACGCACGUCUCAAUCGACAUCAAAUAAUUGUUAAUAAAUAGUUGUCUAAUAUUUACAUAGUUUUUCAUCCGUACAUAUCUUUAUUACUGAUUUAUAAUGUUUUUCGGAUGGAAGCAAAACUAAAUUACGGAUAAAUAAAGAAUGUGCAAAUUAGUUCAAGAUCAAUAAAUUUAUGUAACUUAUGUUGCUAGUACGGACACCCUAGUAGUCACUUAUUUGCUACUAUUUCUUAGCCAUAUCAUCCUGAUUCUACCCUUUGUCCCAUCAUAGAAAUUGACACAUCACACAUGGCUGCAACAGUCUCAACGUGAUGAAGAGCCAAAUCAGUUUCCUCCUCCGUCUUACACAUGACCUUGCUUCCUGUCAUGUCACAAAAGAAGAAAACAGUCCCUUUCUCUGUAAGAUUGAACAGAGUCAAGCCAUAAAAGAAAAUGGACAAGCUGAUUUUUUCAUCAUGAAAUUUUGUGUUUUGAAAUAGUUACUAAAUAUGUAAUGUUUAGUCCAGCAGCCAAAUGGUUAUACCCCAGAGUUGUUUACAUCAUUGCUUCACUCAUGGUUCAGUGCCAUGAUGGCAUAAAAGAUAUCUUAGAAAAAGCCGGAUACAUAGUAAUGCCUAAUUAACAGAUGGUCAAAGCAAUUAUCAAAAAACAUGAAGAGCAGGUUAACCAUUGUUACAUCCCAAAUCUAUGAGAACAUCUGUAAAUAAUUAUCUGUAAUGGGGUGUUUAGAGUACACCUGCUUUGGUUGUACUGGGGUGUGGUCGAGAGUGGAUGUUCGCAUCCAUUUCGAGGCUUCUUGUACAUUGUAUUUUCUCUCUUUUAUAAAAGUAUGCCUUUGGCGUACUCUCAAAAAAAAAGAAUAUCUGUAAAUUGUAGAAGAAAAUGGCGCAGUUAUGAAAAGAAAACAAAGCUUUAACCUUGGUGUAGUAAAAACUAAAAGGUAACUUAUCCCUACAGUCUAAUAACAGAACAACACAUGAGUAAACAACUUGCUGUUUUCUGUAAAGGGUGAAUUUCAUUGGCAGCAUGUCUGAACUAUCAUAAUAAAAUUAGUCAGGCCUCCUAAAUUUUGUUACUCAAGAAACUAUCUGCAGGUCCCUGAAAUUUUGCUAUGCAUUUUUGGAAGAGAAGAGCACCAUUUCAAAUUCACAAUACUGCGUGAUAGUUUGUUUCUCGAGCCUAAACAAAAGCAAAACUUCCUCUAGACACUUGCUUAAUGUAAGAGCGGAACAAACUUUCAUAAUUUCAAACUGAAGAUUUCAAAGUCAUACACAUGGCAGAUAAUUCAUACUUUAGGAGGAAAUUAGUUUGCCUCCAAAUCCAACAGCAAUCAACAAAAAUACACAUGGAAAAUGGCAUUUAAUAGUACACUGUAAACAGAACACUGAAUGGAUAAUGAUACUAAAAUGUGUUUACAAAGGUCAACAGAAUACAGAUCUUACCAACGAACAAAGAUGAAGUGAUGAACUGACCGGUUUCAGUGAAGUGGCUAAUGUCAUGACCUCGGUUUUCUGCUGAAGCAACUCAUUUUCUCUUUCAGAUAGCUGAACUGCUAAAAUACCCACCUAUGGAAAGUACCAAAAUAUUGAAGUGUUUACAAACAAAGAGAUCAUUUAGGCAUGUAUAUAUAUGUAGGUCGACUGGUGGAGACUUCUUUGAAUAAAAACUCACCUGCUACUAUUUUUUACACAAUGAAACUGUACGUGCUNN
This 1715-nucleotide long non-coding RNA is filed under the name Triticum aestivum (bread wheat). RNAcentral's name for it is "long non-coding RNA (TAES_LNC022277)". Lineage: Eukaryota; Viridiplantae; Streptophyta; Magnoliopsida; Poales; Poaceae. The record is from RNAcentral.